GACGAACGCUGGCGGCGUGCUUAACACAUGCAAGUCGAACGGAAAGGCCCUGCUUUUUUGUGGUGCUCGAGUGGCGAAGGGGUGAGUAACACGUGAGUAACCUGCCCUUUACUUUGGGAUAACUUCAGGCAACUGGUGCUAAUACCGGCUAGCAGCUCCUGCUGCAUGGUGGUGUUUGGAAAGUUUGGGCGGUUGGGAAUGUACGGGGGGUUUAUCAGCUGGUUGGUGGGGUAGUGGCUUACCAAGGAUUGGACGGGUAGCCGGACUGAGAGGGUGACCGGCCACAGUGGGACUGGGGUGCGGCCAAGGCUGAUACGGGGGGCAGGGGUGGGGAAUAGUGCAAGAUGGGCGGAGGGUUGAUGGAGCAACGCCGGGUGGGGGAGGACGGCCUUCGGGUAGUAAGCGGAGUUCGCCUGUGACGAGGCGUGAGGAACGGUAAUGGGUAAAGAAGCACCGGCUAACUACGU
This 467-nucleotide ribosomal RNA is filed under the name uncultured bacterium. Its description in RNAcentral is "partial 16S ribosomal RNA". It matches the Rfam family "Bacterial small subunit ribosomal RNA", at positions 28 to 506 of the family's 1533-position model. The record is from RNAcentral.